Molecule: ribosomal RNA, 468 nt
Filed under: uncultured bacterium
Lineage: Bacteria
Description: partial 16S ribosomal RNA
Rfam family: Bacterial small subunit ribosomal RNA
Source: RNAcentral
GACGAACGCUGGCGGCGUGCUUAACACAUGCAAGUCGAACGGAAAGGCCCUGCUUUUGUGGGGUGCUCGAGUGGCGAAAGGGUGAGUAACACGUGAGUAACCUGCCCUUGACUUUGGGAUAACUUCAGGAAACUGGGGCUAAUACCGGAUAGGAGCUCCUGCUGCAUGGUGGGGGUUGGAAAGUUUCGGCGGUUGGGGAUGGACUCGCGGCUUAUCAGCUUGUUGGUGGGGUAGUGGCUUACCAAGGCUUUGACGGGUAGCCGGCCUGAGAGGGUGACCGGCCACAUUGGGACUGAGAUACGGCCCAGACUCCUACGGGAGGCAGCAGUGGGGAAUAUUGCCCAAUGGGCCCAAGCCGGAUGCAGCAACGCCGCGUGCGGGAUGACGGCCUGCGGGUUGUAAACCGCAUUCGCCUGUGACGAAGCGUGAGUGACGGUAAUGGGUAAAGAAGCACCGGCUAACUACGUG